AUCCAAUUGACGAGUCCGAAAUAGGAAGGAAUGCGCGUCCUGGAU
Molecule: non-coding RNA, 45 nt
Filed under: Schistosoma curassoni
Lineage: Eukaryota; Metazoa; Platyhelminthes; Trematoda; Strigeidida; Schistosomatidae
Source: RNAcentral